This 421-nucleotide RNase P RNA is filed under the name Plantactinospora sp. KBS50. RNAcentral describes it as "Bacterial RNase P class A". It matches the Rfam family "Bacterial RNase P class A". Rfam says of the family: Ribonuclease P (RNase P) is a ubiquitous endoribonuclease, found in archaea, bacteria and eukarya as well as chloroplasts and mitochondria. Its best characterised activity is the generation of mature 5'-ends of tRNAs by cleaving the 5'-leader elements of precursor-tRNAs. Lineage: Bacteria; Bacillati; Actinomycetota; Actinomycetes; Micromonosporales; Micromonosporaceae. The record is from Rfam by way of RNAcentral.
CGAGUCGACCGGGCGGUCGCGUCGAGCGGGUCUCCGGACCCGGUCGCCGAGGAACGUCCGGACUCCACAGGGCAGGGUGGUUGCUAACGGCAACCCGGGGUGACCCGCGGGACAGUGCCACAGAAAACAGACCGCCGCGCCCGACUGGGCACGGUAAGGGUGAAACGGUGGGGUAAGAGCCCACCAGCAUCCCGGGUGACCGGGAUGGCUCGGUAAACCCCACCCGGAGCAAGGCCAAGAAGGGGCCGGUCGUCGCAGGACGACCGCCCCGCGCAGGCGUUCGAGGGCGGCCCGCCCGAUGCCUGCGGGUAGGCCGCUGGAGCCUGCCGGCGACGGCAGGCCGAGAUGGAUGGCCGCCACCGGCCCCACCGGCAACGGUGCGGACCGGUCACAGAAUCCGGCGUACAGGUCGACUCGUCCG